AAUGAACGCUGGCGGCGCGCCUAAUACAUGCAAGUCGAGCGAGAAGACGUAGCAAUACGUUUGUAAAGCGGCGAACGGGUGAGGAAUACAUGGGUAACCUACCCUCGAGUGGGGAAUAACUAGCCGAAAGGUUAGCUAAUACCGCGUACGCUUCUUGGACUUCGGUUCAGGGAGGAAAGCGAUGCCGAGGGUAUCGCGCUCUUGGAUGGGCUCAUGUCCUAUCAGCUUGUUGGGAGGUAACGGCUCACCAAGGCUUCGACGGGUAGCUGGUCUGAGAGGACGAUCAGCCACACUGGCACUGCGACACGGGCCAGACUCCUACGGGAGGCAGCAGUAAGGAAUAUUGCGCAAUGGGCGAAAGCCUGACGCAGCGACGCCGCGUGGGGGAUGAAGGUCUUCGGAUUGUAAACCCCUUUCGGGAGGGAAGAUGGAACGAGCAAUCGUUCGGACGGUACCUCCA
RNAcentral lists this ribosomal RNA (460 nucleotides) under uncultured bacterium. RNAcentral's name for it is "bacterial SSU rRNA". It matches the Rfam family "Bacterial small subunit ribosomal RNA", at positions 29 to 483 of the family's 1533-position model. The record is from RNAcentral.